GACGAACGCUGGCGGCGUGCUUAACACAUGCAAGUCGAACGGUGAACGAGGGAGCUUGCUCCCCCAGGAUCAGUGGCGAACGGGUGAGUAACACGUGAGCAAUCUGCCCCGAACUCAGGGAUAAGCGAUGGAAACGACGUCUAAUACCGGAUACGUCGCGGGAGGGCAUCCUCUCCGCGUGGAAAGAACUUCGGUUCGGGAUGAGCUCGCGGCCUAUCAGCUUGUUGGUGAGGUCACGGCUCACCAAGGCGACGACGGGUAGCCGGCCUGAGAGGGUGACCGGCCACACUGGGACUGAGACACGGCCCAGACUCCUACGGGAGGCAGCGGUGGGGAAUAUUGCACAAUGGGCGCAAGCCUGAUGCAGCAACGCCGCGGGGGGGACGACGGCCUUCGGGUUGUAAACCUCUUUUGGCAGGGAAAAAGCGAAAGUGACGGUACCUGCAGAAGAAGCACCGGCUAACUACGUG
Molecule: ribosomal RNA, 470 nt
Filed under: uncultured bacterium
Lineage: Bacteria
Description: partial 16S ribosomal RNA
Rfam family: Bacterial small subunit ribosomal RNA
Source: RNAcentral